AAUAUUAAAUUUGCCUGCUUGGUGUGCAAGCAAAACCUCUAAUCAUUAAUUUUGGUCAAGUUUAAAACAGAGAUUCCCAUUUAUGGCGCACGUCGGUAUAAACACGGCAGCUUUAUAAAAAUUCCCAUGCCUGAGGCCCAUCCCCCCAAAAUCUAUUUUAAUUGAUUUGGAGUAGGGCCUGGGUAUUGAUUUUUUUUCUUUUGUUUUUAAAAAGCUCCCUGAUGAUUCUGUUUGCAGCCAGAAUUGAGAGCCGUUGUUCUGAAUGAUGCCUGAGAAGAGUGUUAAUCUGGCGUGUGUCGGGGCAAGGGGAGGCACGGUCGAGGGAGGUGUUAAACUGAGUUGGCUGACUUGUUUUGUCUGUCUUCAGCCCAGUAGCUGGACAGGAACAAAGUCAAGACUACAGUGCAGUUAUGUAAGGCUUGAGGAUAAGCCUCUUCCACUAAAACUGACUCAUUACUGUGUGUAUAUUCCAUUUAAAGCAAUCUAGAGCAAUAAUGUGGAAAUACUGGGUGAGAGCCACGUUUUGUGAAUAUGGUUAGGGCCCAAUAAUGGUCAAUAAUCAUUCUAUGACCAGAAUGGAGAAGUGACAGUAAAAAAGAACUCUCCCAUUUAAAAUAAUCUGCACUGGAAAUGCCCCAGUGUUUCUCGUAAUACCGGCUGAUACUGAGCCCAGUAACACACUCAUAUUGCCUUGAAUUUCAAGACAGCACUGUGGUGAUCUCUGAUGAUUCGAGGCUCACAUUUUGCCAUCUCUUGCACCCGAGCUGAACUUCUGGCUCAGUGUGUCUGAAGGCAGAGUGGGAAGACAAUUCAGGUAGCAGAGAAGUGAACAAAGGACAUUCCCUGAAUAGGCGAAUUCAAGCUCGUUAGCAGUUAGUUAGCCUGGAAUGAGGCUGAUCAUCUGUCGGCGGAAUUUUUCAGGAGCUGCAAAUGGUUGGAAUCUUUGUUUUCCUUUUCCUUCUAAGUGACCUUCUAAGUGACCUUCUCCUGGUCACCUCACUCCCCACAUCCCCAAAGGAGGAAGUGCAGUGGACAGGUGUUGGCUGAGAGUCCAGAGGACCUGGAUCAAGAGUCAGGAGGGUGGGCUUCUCUCUAAUUGAACGUGUGGCUUGGAGUCAGUUCCUCUCCUUUUCUGGGCUUCAGUUUCCCCUCCUUUGGGGGCAGAGCAGAACUGGCCUGCUUCUUUGAGUCCUGCUUCGAUUUCUGGAGCUUAAACAUAGUGUCCCAUCAUUCCUUGAAGACAUGCAGCUCCUGCUCCAUUGUGGGGUGUAUGUAUUUGACGAGUCUGGCUCCUGGUCAAACACCUAUGUGUGAUUUUUCAGGUCUGACUGCAAGCAAUGGCAGAGGCUUGACCUGGCAGCCCUCCUGGGGAAGCUCCCCUCCCCACACCAGACCUGGUGCCCAGCCAGCACACAGGAGGCUCUGAGGGGAGUUAAGGACUCAGCCCUGCUAUGCUAUGCUCUUCACAUAUUUGCAUUCCUAGCCCAGUGUCUUCAUUCCUAAAUCUCUUUCUCUGAGGCCUUCGGCUGAGGUUUUUUUUCAGGUGCCUCUUCCGAGGCCUCUUUACCAGGGGGAGGAGGGCGAACCCUGAAGACAUGCUUCCCCACUCUGAAUCAGCACCCAGGAUUUUUCCACUCUACCCCACACCCCGACCCCAGGGUCCAUAAAACUGCUGGAGCCUUUGGUUGGGGGCUCCCUCAACAGUGCAAUGUCCGCCACAUCUGCACGGAUCCACCUGACCCUUGAACGGUGCACUGUUUCAUGGGGAAAAUGAAACAGGAGAGCCAGCGGCUUCUCUGGCUUUAGCCUCCUGUUUAUAUUAACACUGUUAUAGCAAGUGAUUAAAGGCUGCACUGUUACUUUUUUUUUUUUGGCUCAUUCUUGCUGUGAUGGGCUACUCUGACACCUGACAGCUCAGCUCUCUCUCCCAGCUUAGCAGAACUCCCAACAGUAUUUUUUAAAUUUUUUUGGGGGGGC
This 1977-nucleotide long non-coding RNA is filed under the name Homo sapiens (human). RNAcentral's name for it is "HSALNT0067542". The record is from RNAcentral. Lineage: Eukaryota; Metazoa; Chordata; Mammalia; Primates; Hominidae.